RNAcentral lists this ribosomal RNA (472 nucleotides) under uncultured bacterium. RNAcentral's name for it is "SSU rRNA". It matches the Rfam family "Bacterial small subunit ribosomal RNA", at positions 26 to 518 of the family's 1533-position model. The record is from RNAcentral.
AGAUUGAACGCUGGCGGCAUGCCUUACACAUGCAAGUCGAACGGUAACGCGGGGGCAACCCUGGCGACGAGUGGCGAACGGGUGAGUAAUACAUCGGAACGUACCCAGUAGUGGGGGAUAGCUCGGCGAAAGCCGGAUUAAUACCGCAUACGACCUAUGGGUGAAAGCGGGGGAUCGAAAGACCUCGCGCUAUUGGAGCGGCCGAUGUCGGAUUAGCUAGUUGGUGAGGUAAAGGCUCACCAAGGCUACGAUCCGUAGCUGGUUUGAGAGAACGACCAGCCACAUUGGGACUGAGACACGGCCCAAACUCCUACGGGAGGCAGCAGUGGGGAAUCUUGGACAAUGGGGGAAACCCUGAUCCAGCGAUGCCGCGUGAGUGAUGAAGGCCUUCGGGUUGUAAAACUCUUUCGACGGGGACGAUAAUGACGGUACCCGUAGAAGAAGCUCCGGCUAACUUCGUGCCAGCAGCCGC